GAAUCAUCCUUUCUAUUCAGCCAUCCGGAAGGAGCUUGGCUAUCUCAACAGGAUGGCAAAAGACAAGAGCUUAAUCUAUUCUGGGAGAACCUAAAAGAAACACAACCCAUUCGGAGCACUACAGAGCCACUUUUCUCCAUCCAGCCUUGGGAUCUGUGACCUCAUGAUUUGUGGACAGUGAGCAGGAAAGGAACAAAAUGGUGCAAGUAUGGGGCUGCGUGCAGAGUGCAUGGCCAUUGAAAUA
Sceloporus undulatus (fence lizard) is the source of this 244-nucleotide long non-coding RNA. RefSeq lists it as uncharacterized. Lineage: Eukaryota; Metazoa; Chordata; Lepidosauria; Squamata; Phrynosomatidae. The record is from RefSeq and is a predicted model, not a curated record. The transcript has 3 exons.